This is a long non-coding RNA of Gallus gallus (chicken), 265 nucleotides long. Lineage: Eukaryota; Metazoa; Chordata; Aves; Galliformes; Phasianidae. The record is from Ensembl.
AACAGCCAGAGGUGGAAGGGCUCAUAUAAAAAGAGAAAAGGUGAUAAUGGAAGUGUCUGCAUGUUCUACCAGCCAAAGCUCUGACAUAAAAAUAUGCAUCACAAAGAAAACAGGACAGAAGGGAGAGAACGGAGAAGAAAGCCAGUUCUUUGCUACUCCUGGGAAACAAAAGGGAUGUCUGCAGCUUCCUGCAGCAGAGUGCAAGCUUCAUCUGCAUGCUGCUGCUGCUGCUGCUCCUCUGCUUUUGUUGCACGUACAGUUUGCC